This 1551-nucleotide ribosomal RNA is filed under the name Klebsiella pneumoniae. Its description in RNAcentral is "bacterial SSU rRNA". It matches the Rfam family "Bacterial small subunit ribosomal RNA". The record is from RNAcentral. Lineage: Bacteria; Pseudomonadati; Pseudomonadota; Gammaproteobacteria; Enterobacterales; Enterobacteriaceae.
AAAUUGAAGAGUUUGAUCAUGGCUCAGAUUGAACGCUGGCGGCAGGCCUAACACAUGCAAGUCGAGCGGUAGCACAGAGAGCUUGCUCUCGGGUGACGAGCGGCGGACGGGUGAGUAAUGUCUGGGAAACUGCCUGAUGGAGGGGGAUAACUACUGGAAACGGUAGCUAAUACCGCAUAACGUCGCAAGACCAAAGUGGGGGACCUUCGGGCCUCAUGCCAUCAGAUGUGCCCAGAUGGGAUUAGCUAGUAGGUGGGGUAACGGCUCACCUAGGCGACGAUCCCUAGCUGGUCUGAGAGGAUGACCAGCCACACUGGAACUGAGACACGGUCCAGACUCCUACGGGAGGCAGCAGUGGGGAAUAUUGCACAAUGGGCGCAAGCCUGAUGCAGCCAUGCCGCGUGUGUGAAGAAGGCCUUCGGGUUGUAAAGCACUUUCAGCGGGGAGGAAGGCGGUGAGGUUAAUAACCUCAUCGAUUGACGUUACCCGCAGAAGAAGCACCGGCUAACUCCGUGCCAGCAGCCGCGGUAAUACGGAGGGUGCAAGCGUUAAUCGGAAUUACUGGGCGUAAAGCGCACGCAGGCGGUCUGUCAAGUCGGAUGUGAAAUCCCCGGGCUCAACCUGGGAACUGCAUUCGAAACUGGCAGGCUAGAGUCUUGUAGAGGGGGGUAGAAUUCCAGGUGUAGCGGUGAAAUGCGUAGAGAUCUGGAGGAAUACCGGUGGCGAAGGCGGCCCCCUGGACAAAGACUGACGCUCAGGUGCGAAAGCGUGGGGAGCAAACAGGAUUAGAUACCCUGGUAGUCCACGCCGUAAACGAUGUCGAUUUGGAGGUUGUGCCCUUGAGGCGUGGCUUCCGGAGCUAACGCGUUAAAUCGACCGCCUGGGGAGUACGGCCGCAAGGUUAAAACUCAAAUGAAUUGACGGGGGCCCGCACAAGCGGUGGAGCAUGUGGUUUAAUUCGAUGCAACGCGAAGAACCUUACCUGGUCUUGACAUCCACAGAACUUUCCAGAGAUGGAUUGGUGCCUUCGGGAACUGUGAGACAGGUGCUGCAUGGCUGUCGUCAGCUCGUGUUGUGAAAUGUUGGGUUAAGUCCCGCAACGAGCGCAACCCUUAUCCUUUGUUGCCAGCGGUCCGGCCGGGAACUCAAAGGAGACUGCCAGUGAUAAACUGGAGGAAGGUGGGGAUGACGUCAAGUCAUCAUGGCCCUUACGACCAGGGCUACACACGUGCUACAAUGGCAUAUACAAAGAGAAGCGACCUCGCGAGAGCAAGCGGACCUCAUAAAGUAUGUCGUAGUCCGGAUUGGAGUCUGCAACUCGACUCCAUGAAGUCGGAAUCGCUAGUAAUCGUAGAUCAGAAUGCUACGGUGAAUACGUUCCCGGGCCUUGUACACACCGCCCGUCACACCAUGGGAGUGGGUUGCAAAAAGAAGUAGGUAGCUUAACCUUCGGGAGGGCGCUUACCACUUUGUGAUUCAUGACUGGGGUGAAGUCGUAACAAGGUAACCGUAGGGGAACCUGCGGUUGGAUCACCUCCUUACCUUAAAGAA